ACAUGUUAAUGUUACAGAAUGGUUUGAAUAUGUAUCACAGCAACGGAGCUGAUAUAUAUAUCGUAAUAAUAUGUAAAAGACCAUAUAUAGGUGAAAUAGGCGAGGGGAGGAAACGUUAGCCAGACUUGUAGUGGAAGCUGGGAACCAAAAAUCUCAACUUAUUUAUCGUGAAUGGCGAAAUCUGAUGCACUUCGAUCCUGUUAGUUCCGCUUUGUUUUUCUAGCGUCACUCGUCAUAUUUGGUUAACACUUAACAGACUCCAGUAUCAGCAACUGCAUUAUCAAU
This 285-nucleotide long non-coding RNA is filed under the name Brassica napus (rape). RNAcentral describes it as "long non-coding RNA (BNAP_LNC003531)". The record is from RNAcentral. Lineage: Eukaryota; Viridiplantae; Streptophyta; Magnoliopsida; Brassicales; Brassicaceae.